RNAcentral lists this ribosomal RNA (253 nucleotides) under uncultured bacterium. RNAcentral describes it as "partial 16S ribosomal RNA". It matches the Rfam family "Bacterial small subunit ribosomal RNA", at positions 524 to 776 of the family's 1533-position model. The record is from RNAcentral.
UACGUAGGGGGCGAGCGUUGUCCGGAUUUAUUGGGCGUAAAGAGCGUGUAGGCGGUCCGGUAAGUCCGCUGUGAAAGUCGGGGGCUCAACCCUCGAAUGCCGGUGGAUACUGGCGGGCUAGAGUGCGGAAGAGGCGAGUGGAAUUCCUGGUGUAGCGGUGAAAUGCGCAGAUAUCAGGAGGAACACCUAUUGCGAAGGCAGCUCGCUGGGACGUAACUGACGCUGAGACGCGAAAGCGUGGGAAGCAAACAGG